Molecule: ribosomal RNA, 263 nt
Filed under: uncultured bacterium
Lineage: Bacteria
Description: partial 16S ribosomal RNA
Rfam family: Bacterial small subunit ribosomal RNA
Source: RNAcentral
UACAGAGGGCAGCUACCCAGCAAUGGGAUGCGAAUCUCGAAAGCCUGUCUCAGUUCGGAUUGGAGGCUGAAACCCGCCUCCAUGAAGUUGGAUUCGCUAGUAAUCGCGCAUCAGCCAUGGCGCGGUGAAUACGUUCCCGGGUCUUGUACACACCGCCCGUCACACCAUGGGAGUCAGUAACGCCCGAAGCCGGUGACCUAACCGAAAGGGAGGAGCCGUCGAAGGUGGGACCGAUAACUGGGGUGAAGUCGUAACAAGGUACC